RNAcentral lists this ribosomal RNA (474 nucleotides) under uncultured bacterium. Its description in RNAcentral is "bacterial SSU rRNA". It matches the Rfam family "Bacterial small subunit ribosomal RNA", at positions 328 to 794 of the family's 1533-position model. The record is from RNAcentral.
UGUCCAGACUCCUACGGGAGGCAGCAGUGGUUCCUCUUGCACAAUUUGCUCAAGCCUGCUGCAGCCAUGCCGCGUGUCUGAAGAAGGCCUUCGGGUUGUACCGUACUUUCAGCGGGGCGGAAGGUGUUGCGGUUAAUAACCUCAGCAAUUGACGUUACCCGCAGAAGAAGCACCGGCUAACUCCGUGCCAGCAGCCGCGGUAAUACGGAGGGUGCAAGCGUUAAUCGGAAUUACUGGGCGGAAAGCGCACGCAGGCGGUCUGUCAAGGCGGAUGUGAAAUCCCCGGGCUCAACCGGGGAACUGCAUUCGAAACUGGCAGGCUGGAGUCGGGGAGAGGGGGGGAGAAUUCCAGGUGGAGCGGUGAAAUGCGGAGAGAUCUGGAGGAAGACCGGUGGCGAAGGCGGCCCCCUGGACAAAGACUGACGCGCAGGUGCGAAAGCGGGGGGAGCAAACAGGAGGAGAUACCCCAGUAGA